CCUCAUCAACUGUAUCGUCUGCUCCAUCUGCGCCAUCUGCUCCAUCAUCUGGAUCUGGAAGCGCUGAUAGUCGUCGACGCAUGCAGCCAACUCCUGAGCUCGCUAUCGAUCCUCGACAGCCUGUCUCUGCACCUCCAUCAACCGAGCUUCGCACGUAGAAUGGAUGUCCUCUCUAGAUGUGCAUGAGGAUGAAGGAGCAGUGAUCCCAUACCCCAGACUCCUAGC
RNAcentral lists this long non-coding RNA (225 nucleotides) under Elaeis guineensis (African oil palm). Its description in RNAcentral is "long non-coding RNA (EGUI_LNC082389)". The record is from RNAcentral. Lineage: Eukaryota; Viridiplantae; Streptophyta; Magnoliopsida; Arecales; Arecaceae.